This is an RNA transcript of Trachemys scripta elegans, 6149 nucleotides long. It is a transcript of the gene named C-terminal binding protein 2, with no coding region annotated. The record is from RefSeq and is a predicted model, not a curated record. The transcript is spliced from 10 exons. Lineage: Eukaryota; Metazoa; Chordata; Testudines; Emydidae.
UGUUUCAUUCCAAUGCCAAUUCCAAGUAAGCAUACAAAUAUCGGCCGUUCUCAGAGCUGGGAUGCUGCAGGAUGGUAUGAAGGCAACUGGGAGAAUGAAAAUGCAUUUGAAUAUCAGAGACCAACAGGGAGGAGAAAUUCGCUGACUUACGGUGGAGAAGGAGGUUGGUAUGAGCAGCCAAACCAUAGACCGCAUGAUAUCAUCUUGCAAGGAGGUGCUGAAUUGAAGCAAGAGCCAUACCCAUAUCAGGAUCCAGUUUUUAACCAGGGUCCCUUACGGAAGGGUUCUGUUCCUGACUUCACUUACUACAACAGACAGGCUGCAAUGUCUGGACGAAGCUCCUUGCCAUCUCAGGAUUAUUACAGUGACCCAUCUUUAGCCGCUAGAUCACCUAAAGAUCCGCGCUACUAUAGAGACCACAUGAUUAAUAGAUCAUUACCGAAUUAUGGGAUUCCCAGUAGCAGAUUGGCUUGGGAUCAGGUACAAGGACGGUCACCUGCCCAACACGAAGCCAGCCGUAUGUAUAGGGAUCCCAUGAGUAAAAUGAUCCAAGAGGGGCAGAGAAUGCGAAACAGAGAUCCUUCUCCUGCAAGGUAUGGUGUUGAACAGCCCACCCCUAGAUAUGGAACAGAACCAUCAUCAUUUCCCAACAGGCAGGUCUAUAGUGAUACAGCAGAGAGACCUAUAGAGUCUGCAGCUGCUAGACAAACUACUCCAACGUGCUUGGUAGUCGAUCCAAAUUCUGCUACUGUUCCUGAUGGGAGCAUAGGUCCAUCUGCCGUUGCUGUAAAUCGUGGUUAUGGACCCAUCAGGGAAAAUGUCAAUGCAAAGAUUCCUUAUGAUAGUUAUGAAUCUGCCAUGACUCCUUCCCAUUCUCAGAUGCCCUCAGCUUUCCCAGGACAAGACAUUAAAAGAAACUUUGAUCCGGAGUUCCUAGCACUUCUGCGUUCAGAAGGCGUGUCCGAAAGCACAUUCAAUGCUUUGCUGCAGCAAGGGUUUGAUUCUCCGAGCCUGCUCGCGAUGAUGGAAGAGAAUGAUAUAAAAUCUGUAGCUCCAAAUCUUGGACAGGCCAGGGUGCUUUCCCGUAUUGCCCAUAACUACAAAACAGAAAUGCAGCUACAAAGGCAUGAUAGGAAGAACAGCACACUCCGUCCCAGGACCCGAUCUAACAGCUUUAGUCAUCGAAGUGAACUGCUGCAGAAUGAAUAUGGCAUGCACCCUGCCACGGGUCCUGGUGUAGACGGCACAACUAUGCAGCAACCACCUCCUCCUUCUCUACAGCCAGUAUCACCAAGAGUAGGAGAAAUAAAUCGUCGCCCAUCCAGUGCCCCCACACAGCACCUUCUGGAAACUGCAACUUAUUCUGCAUCUGGGGCAACUCAUCAAGGUGCUCAUUUUCUAGCUAAUUCUGGAUACAACACUCCUUUACCAUGCAACAUGCACACUCGUCCAGUGUCUGCCUAUUCCACUCCAACUGGAUUACCAGGGACUACAGUGCAGACUAACCCACAUGCAAGUCCCAAAACAGCAUAUCCAACCACUUACACAGUGCCCAUGGAGCUGCUGAAGAGGGACCGAAAUACGUCAAUGUCCCCAAUGCAUAGCCCACACAACAGCCCUCAGCUUCUCCGAAAGCAAGGAGCCCAAAUGGAUUCCACCCUGGCUCUUGCUGGCCCAAGUUUUCACAUGCAACAUUCUCCUUAUCAGAAACUCACCAGACGCACUGGACCACCAGUUAUUGUCUCAACCAUGGCGUCACCUGAACCAAGUAUUCGCCCACAAAUAAUGAAUGGCCCUAUGCAUCCUCGUCCUUUGGUGGCUUUGUUAGAUGGAAGGGACUGUACAGUGGAGAUGCCAAUUUUGAAAGACUUGGCUACUGUUGCAUUCUGUGAUGCACAAUCAACUCAGGAGAUUCACGAGAAGGUAUUAAAUGAAGCCGUUGGGGCAAUGAUGUACCACACUAUCACCCUCACCCGAGAAGAUCUAGAGAAGUUCAAGGCCUUAAGGGUCAUCGUUCGAAUAGGCAGUGGCUAUGACAACAUCGAUAUCAAAGCUGCAGGGGAGCUCGGGAUUGCUGUCUGCAAUAUCCCAUCAGCAGCUGUGGAAGAGACUGCAGAUUCCACCAUAUGCCAUGUCCUAAACCUCUACAGGCGGAACACGUGGCUGUAUCAAGCACUGAGGGAAGGGACCCGGGUGCAGAGUGUGGAACAGAUAAGGGAGGUGGCCUCAGGAGCAGCUCGGAUCAGAGGAGAAACUCUCGGCCUCAUUGGAUUUGGUCGCACUGCGCAGGCAGUUGCAGUUCGAGCCAAGGCAUUUGGAUUCAGUGUGAUAUUUUACGACCCAUACCUGCAGGAUGGGAUAGAAAGGUCUCUGGGCGUCCAGCGAGUCUACACACUCCAGGACCUGCUAUAUCAGAGUGACUGUGUAUCGUUGCACUGUAACCUUAACGAACAUAAUCACCACCUUAUCAAUGACUUCACGAUUAAGCAGAUGAGGCAGGGAGCAUUCCUAGUAAACACAGCACGCGGUGGGCUUGUGGACGAGAAAGCCUUAACUCAAGCCCUGAAGGAAGGAAGGAUACGAGGAGCAGCGCUUGAUGUGCAUGAAUCAGAGCCAUUUAGUUUUGCUCAAGGCCCAUUGAAAGAUGCUCCUAAUUUAAUUUGUACUCCGCACACUGCUUGGUACAGCGAGCAGGCAUCCCUAGAGAUGAGAGAGGCUGCUGCUACUGAAAUCCGUCGCGCAAUCACAGGUCGCAUCCCAGAAAGCCUAAGAAACUGCGUGAACAAGGAAUUCUUUGUCACAACAGCCCCAUGGUCAGUAAUAGAUCAGCAAGCACUUCAUCCAGAGCUCAAUGGUGCCACAUACAGAUCAGCCACUUUUGGAGUAUGCUUGCCCACUGUAAAGUAUGAGCGCAUUUUUCAGGUGUAGCAGUAGAGGCCAGGAUACCAGGUAUUUUAAUGAGAUGCAACAUGUGUGUGUCCACAGCGUGUGUUGGGAUGAAACCAUCUACUUCCCUUCUCACCUUCACCUCUGAGUUCCAUGUAAGUCUAACCCUGCUCCUGAAAUUUCUUACCCACAUCUUUUCUUUUAGCCCUUGCCCUCUCCAUUUCAUACCAAAGCUACUAUUAUCUUCAUCUGAAUGGCUGCCUCUCCCUCCUCAGUCUCUUUGAGCUGUUGUCACUUCAGCAGAGUCUGUUGCAUCCCCCUCUUGUGCACUUUCCUUCUGGAACAUACUCUUCCCUUUGUGACUGCUCCUCUGCUGGAAGGGACUUCAUGCUUGGCCCUUGCUCCAGUUUUACACAUGCUUUUGAUGCCUUAGUUUCAGCUCUCCCCUCCAUACUGAUGACUUACAGAUCUUUCUCCAUCAGACUCAUCUUGUAUUUCUUCCUGGCUGUCACAUUUCCUUUGCAAGCUCAGAAUCGGUUCUGCUCUCCACCUACAUCUCUUCCUCUCUUUAUUAUGGUUGAAAAUGCCACCACCCUCCAGCACCUAAGUUAAUCAUCAUGAUUUUGCUUUUGCUGCCUCUCCCCACCUCAGGCUUCGAGUGAGAUCAUGUCGUUUCUUUCUUUCCCUAACAUCUGUCCUGUCCCCUCCAUCUCUGAUCCAUGCCUUGGUUAUCUCAUCUUGUCUACUAUAAACUCCACCAGUCUGCCCUCUGUGUUUAUCACCAUAUGCCCUGCCAGAGUGUGACUGCAUUAUUGGCUCCUGCCCCUCUUAAUCCCAUCAUUUUUCUUCAUACUAAGCUCAAGGUAUUUGUCCUUGUCCUCUUUCAAGGUUCUGCAUCAUUCCCCCUCUGCAUACAUCUCAUCUUACAAGCCCUAUCGCUCGCUGUGUUCCUUCCUACUUUUAGCUUUGCACCAUUUAUUAGCCCCAUGCCUGAGCACAAACUGUGCUCUAGAUCCUGGCUUCUCAGACAGCUCCCCUACUGCACUAGUUCAAAUAAGACCAUAAAGCAGCCCUAAUUAGACAGCUGAGGGGAAUUCUAGGCAGCAUGGAGAGGUUCUGGCAGGAGGCAUGGUUAGUGCAUUGCUACUUUCUAGAACCUGGCUGGUAUAAUAGCUGCUAUCCCACAGUGAGCACAAUACUCAGUAGCUCACCCAGCCGGGUGUAGCUGCAGUAUGCUCCCUGCAGCCCAGAAAUUCUCCUAAGCAUUGCCAGCACCUAUGUCAGCUAACCCAAAAUUCAUCCCUCUAACAUCCCUUGGCUCUUCCCUAUAAAUGCAGCCAUUGAAAUAUUUUCCUGGGCCUUUAAAGCAGUGUAAGCUUUUCCAACUUUCAUGCCCCCGGAAAGGAUUGAAUUCAAAAGGUAUUUGCUACACCUGUCACAUCUUAUUUUUCAUGUAAGCUGCUACCAGACUUUUAUUCAUCAGAGUUAAGAAUAUUUAUGGCUAAAAUUGUGUCCUCAUGACCUUUGGUUGUCCCACAGAUAUACAGCCCAUCUAUAUCAACUUCAUAGCCACAGUAGAAUACAAGCUGUAUGUUCAACUUAUUACCUUCCCAUGAAACAUUUAGCUCCACAAGCAUGGUUCAAACUGUUAGUUGUCCACUUUUACAAGAAUCAUUUUCAGAAGACUGACUUCAGUGAAAUGUUUGCAUGGUAAUAAUGGUCCACCAGAUGUUUUUCCCUUUAGAAGAGAUUACGCCAAUAUAGUUAGAAUAUCUUCGUGUGUCUCGGUGAUAUAGCACACCUAGUGCAAGUUAGGGACCUCAUUGAGCUCACUUUUACAUACAACCUGCUGCCAGGCUACAUUCUUGUAUCUCACGCAAUACAUUAACACGAGGCCAGUAGAUGUGUUCAGAUCCUUCCUAAGUGAGAAGCUGAUUUCUAUGGUUAAGACAGCUGAAAAAACAUAAUGGGGUGGUUGUGGUGUCAAUAGGAAAGCUCAGCUUGAGCAACUAUGAGUUAAUUUAAAAAAAUAAUGCAUAAAGCCUGUGCGCUAACAAUAUGCAAAAUUAAGCACAUCAGGGCCUUUAUCUUUAAAGGAUUGCAACUAACUGGCUGGCACGAGGCAAGACAAAAAAGGGUAGUGAAGUAUGAUACUUGAUGGUGAAGGAAGCCUUGGUUGCAUUUUAAAUAUUCAAUACAUUUUUUUUUCCCCCCCCCCCCCCCCCCCAACAGUUUUACCCAAUUCAAAUAGAAGUUUUUCAGUUCUUGCCUUACUUCCUGCUAGCUGGGCAUGGGAAUUGUCCCUUAGGUUACAAUGGUAGUACUGUUUAGAGACUGAGCUUCUUCUCUACACUAGAAGAGAUUAAACAUGGAAUAAUACCCUAAAUAAAGUUUGAAAUAACAUUUAUAUAAACACUUCGGUAACAACAAAUGCUGAAAGCAUUUUCCUCCUACUUUUUCACCCCCUCACGCUAGUGGAUUUUUUUUAUAAUAGAGGAAGUGCUCUUCUUCACCCAUUAAAGUCUUCAUCAGUUACAAGGUAUGGCUGUAAAUCACACAAGUCCAUAUUGAGGGAUCUUUUCACAUCAGCACCUAGUGGCCAUUAGUGUAUCUACUGAAGGACUUUCAGGUUCUGUAUAAAGGCUAAAGCCUCAUUCCAUUUCCUUAUAAAUUUAUCAUUUAAGUAGUUUUGUGUCAAGGGCUACUGCAAUGUUAUUGCUUCAAAAAAAUCUUGAUAUGGAGGUAUGUGAUUAGUCUAUGGGGUGAAGGCGUAUUGGCAUGACUGUUACUAUCACUACACCAGUGGACAGAGACUACGCCAGCUGCAGUUUGUUUCUCCCUGUCUGAUCAUAGCUCCCUUGAAGUGAUGUGGAAAAUAAAUGUGCACAGCCCUAGCUGGACUAUUUUACUUUAAAAAUUAGUUCAACUUUAAGCUUUUGAGCAAAUAGUAGGUUUGUUUUUUUGUUUUUUUUAAAUGUCUUAGGUAUUAAAAUAGUUACACCUUGCUGCCUGUUUUGGUGAAUUAUAGACACCACUACACAGGUAAUUUGUUCUGGUUAUUCCUUAAUACAUGUCUUUCUACAGUAUUUUUGCCUAUUGGUAUCAUUACCUGUUUCUUCCUAGAUAUCCACCUGGCAUGGUCAGUGUCGCACCUGGGGGGAUUCCAGCAGCAAUGGAGGGCAUCAUACCUGGAGGCAUUCCCGUUACCCACAAUCUUCCAACAGUGGCACACCCUUCCCAAGCUCCAUCUCCUAACCAGCCCA